Molecule: ribosomal RNA, 761 nt
Filed under: uncultured Trichococcus sp.
Lineage: Bacteria; Bacillati; Bacillota; Bacilli; Lactobacillales; Carnobacteriaceae
Description: partial 16S rRNA
Rfam family: Bacterial small subunit ribosomal RNA
Source: RNAcentral
ACYGACGCUGRGGCYUCGAAAGSGKKGGGRRGCAACCAGGAUUAGAUACCCUGUUAKUCMCGCCGUAAACGAUGAAUACUAGGUKGUAGGGGGUUKUCAUGACCUUCUGKGCSSCCGCUAACGCAUUAAGUAUUCSSCUGGGGARGUACGGUCSCAAGAUUAAACUCAAAGGAAUUGACGGGGCCCSCACAAGCAGCGGAGCAUGKGUUAAUUCGAAGCAACGCGAAGACCUUACCUAGACUUGACAUCUCUGCAUUACUCUUAAUAGAGGAAGUCCCUUUCGGGGACAGGAUGACAGGUGGUGCAUGGUUGUCGUCAGCUCGUGUCGUGAGAUGUUGGGUUAAGUCCCGCAACGAGCGCAACCCCUAUUGUUAGUUGCCAGCAUUCAGUUGGGCACUCUAAUGAGACUGCCGGUGACAAACCGGAGGAAGGUGGGGAUGACGUCAAAUCAUCAUGCCCCUUAUGACCUGGGCUACACACGUGCUACAAUGGAUGGUACAACGAGCAGCAAGACCGCGAGGUCAAGCGAAUCUCUUAAAGCCAUUCUCAGUUCGGAUUGCAGGCUGCAACUCGCCUGCAUGAAGCCGGAAUCGCUAGUAAUCGCGGAUCAGCACGCCGCGGUGAAUACGUUCCCGGGUCUUGUACACACCGCCCGUCACACCACGAGAGUUUGUAACACCCGAAGUCGGUGAGGUAACCUUUUUGGAGCCAGCCGCCUAAGGUGGGACAGAUGAUUGGGGUGAAGUCGUAACAAGGUAACC